AUCCCCUCCCUCUCUCAGACCCCCCAAUUCUCUCUAACCUAAACCCUAAUUAAUCAGUCGCCCCCAUAUUCUUUUAUCAAAGCUCGCCGCGGCGAGGACAUCAGUUACACCAACAACCACCAAAAUUACACCCUAACACCGCCUCUGUAUCCUCAUUUCAAAUCUACCCUUCUUUUCCUUCGAAUCAACCUCAAAGGUAUUGAUUCUUGAUUCGAAGUUGAUGAACCCUAGGCGCCGCCCUCGAAUCCUAGUGGCGGCGGCGCCUCUUUUUCACACCAAAUUAAUACCAGAUGAUUGUCGUCCUUCCCCCAUCAGUAAUACCUACCCAUAAAUCCUUCGAAUCCAAGUAAAAGGCCUCGAAUGUCAGAUCUAGGGUUGGGGAGUCGAAGCUAUACAAAGGUAGAAUGUUUUUCGUAGUAAGUUUCUAAUAGAUCA
RNAcentral lists this long non-coding RNA (435 nucleotides) under Nicotiana benthamiana. RNAcentral describes it as "long non-coding RNA (NBEN_LNC024591)". The record is from RNAcentral. Lineage: Eukaryota; Viridiplantae; Streptophyta; Magnoliopsida; Solanales; Solanaceae.